UCUGGACGUGCCUUACGGACGUCACGUGGAUGCAGAGCCCUCUUUCACUGCUGCUGAGGUUCAUCCUUGCUGUGGGUGCAGCACAGCGCGUCCCAGAGGUGCUGCCCAGGAUGCAGGAUGCUCUGGGAUCCAAAGAUCCCCAUCCUGCGGUGCCCCAGAUCUGAAGUGUAAGGAGCAGGAAAACCUAAACAAAAGUGGUGCAAUGAGGAGUGCAAGAGGCACCGGCACGAUGUGUGAUUUUAAGGCACAUCCCUCUGGUUGGUGCUUUGCUGCCUUUCUUCUUGGAAAGAGCCCUCCCAGCACAGCCAGAUGGACCCAGUGAUGCAGCUGCCCCACCUGCCCCAUUCUGCCCCUCCUCAAUGCUGGGCUGUGGGCACCGUGCUGCUGCUAUGGGCCGGGUCAUUGGAAUCAACACAGGGGUUCUUCCCAUCCCUACGGCUGUAAUAUCUGGUGCAUCUCUGCAGAUGAAGGGAAAAGAAAGCAUCUCUCCCACUCUUGCUCCUCCGUAAGAGCUGAUGCAGUUAAUUGGAGCUUCUUGUGAGCGCACAUUAACAGAGGCAGAGCCAAGAAGAUGUCUUGGCAGCGAAAUAUCAUUAUCAGCUCUUGAGCUCCAGCCAAAAUCCCCUUGCGGUCAAAACACAAUUCUUUAAACUAAACAAUUAGAGAUUUGUGCAAGUGU
This is a non-coding RNA of Coturnix japonica (Japanese quail), 679 nucleotides long. Lineage: Eukaryota; Metazoa; Chordata; Aves; Galliformes; Phasianidae. The record is from RefSeq and is a predicted model, not a curated record.